This is a long non-coding RNA of Prunus persica (peach), 1008 nucleotides long. RefSeq lists it as uncharacterized. The record is from RefSeq and is a predicted model, not a curated record. The transcript has 3 exons. NCBI's taxonomy places the organism in Eukaryota, Viridiplantae, Streptophyta, Magnoliopsida, Rosales, Rosaceae.
CCAAGGCACAGAGUUGGAAAAAAGUGAUCUUGGAGCAAAAAUCCCCCGUCUUUAAAGGGAGGUGGAUGGGCAAAUAAUCAGUGAUAAGAUAUGCAUCGGGAUGGCACCACUAUUUUUAGUGUAAGAUCAUGGAAGUGCUCCCUUACUCCAGCUUUCAGCAACAACUUCUGUCUAUGAUGGAGAAUCCAACUGCCCUGAGCAUGGAAAGCAAGAGCAAGUGGCAGAUGGCAGAGUAGAUGACUUAUUGCCAAAUGUGGAAGGGCCUCAACUAGUAAGACAAGGUCAAGUUCAAGAGGCAGUUGAUGAAUUGCAUACCUCAGAAGGAUGUCAAAAUGGAGCUUCAUGUCUUGAUUGUCAAGCGGAGGAGGGCCAAAAGUUAUCCAGUGUUUUGCAUGAUUUUGAUGGUGAUGACAUAAAUGAACAGAAUUACUGCACAGAACCUUGCCUAACCUCUGGCAAUGGUCAUCUGAUUGUAGAUAGCAGGGAAAGUGAAUUGCCAAACAACAUUUGGGAAGGAGAGUCGUAUCUUUGAGAGCCUACGUAGCUAGAAAGUGAUGAAUCUGUGGCACUGUGGAUCAAGGUAACUUUUAUUUCUUCCACUUUCAAAUCUUUGCUUUGUUAUCACAACCUAAACCUUUUCUUAUGCAAUUUCUCGUGCCUGUUGCAUAUCAAGUUGGCUAGCCUCAUUAUCUUUACCCAUAAGUUUACAGUUCUAGGAUGCCUCCAACUGGCUGCUUGUGCUUUUCCUCCUUUUCCCCCUUGAUGUUCAAACAUAACAUCAUUGCAGGUUCUUCUUUGAAGCCAAUGUACCAGUGUCUUUUGUUAAUUAUGACGAUAGAAAACCCGCAAAAUACUGGCUGAGAAUAUUGCACAGCUAAACUCCGCCAUAGACGAUGUUUCUGCUCAGCUGCAUGCAGACGAUGCCCCAAACGGAGCUGCAUUGGCUUCAGAUGAAAUUGAAGCUUCCAUAUAAUAGAAUGCUUCCAGAGUUUUUGUAUAACUUGGUAU